RNAcentral lists this long non-coding RNA (3479 nucleotides) under Triticum aestivum (bread wheat). Its description in RNAcentral is "long non-coding RNA (TAES_LNC028246)". Lineage: Eukaryota; Viridiplantae; Streptophyta; Magnoliopsida; Poales; Poaceae. The record is from RNAcentral.
AGAAAUCAUGUUGAAUGCUUCACUUGAAAAUGCGAAAACCCUGUUGAAAUAGAGAUGUGAUGAGGAGGAGGCCAAGGAUUGUGGCAAUAAAAAGAAAUAGAAAACUAACAUGUCUCUGUAGGAAAGAAGUUACGAAUGGAAGCCGAAUUUCAUUGUCCUUGCAAGUUAUGAUCUCAAAAAGGAAUUUCUCUCGUACAGCUUGUAAAUCAUCCUUCAGAAUGUAAAAAAUUGAGUAGCAGCUUAGAAAAAAUGAUAUAUUUCGAAGAAAGCUAAAUAAGGAAAACAAGUGCUCUCAAUGAAUGAAUUGGUAAAUACGUACAUUGGAGAAACCUUCCAUUCCGAGACCUUUGUACUUGCUAAGAUACUGAAGAAGGAAAAUUCCUGAGUCGUACCUGAAAAAAGAAACAGUGUUGCAAUUUCCGAUUAACUUAAAAAACUUUCGAACUAUUUCUUGAGAAGUAGAAGAAAUAAGUUGCUAAUGAAUCAUAAAAGGCACAAUGAACAGUUUUAAAAUAUCACAAUUGUUAUAUGUUCCAACAUUUUUUGAUGCAGUAAAUAUUUUUUGUAAUUUUGAUUCAAAAAAGAAACAUGCACAAAUUUUACAAAUCCUGAACAGUUUUCUAAAAUGCGAACAAUUUUUCAAGAAAUACGACAGAAAUCAUGAAAAACACAAACAUUUUUUGAAUUUUCGGAACAUUUUCUGAGACCACGAACAGUUUUAAAUUUUUGAACAAAAAUGGAAACAGGAACAUUUUUUCAGUUCAGAACAAAAAUGUUUAAACAGAACAUUUUUUUAAAUGCGAUUUUUUUUUGAAACAUGACAUUUGUUGAAUUUGCAAAUAAAAUGUUGAAACCAAGAACAUUUUCGAAAACAUGAACAACUUUUGAAUUCCCCAAACAUUUUUUGGAAUUUGUGAACAAUUUUUUAAAGCAUGAACAUAUUUUGAAUCUUGGGAACAAAUUUUGAAAUGGAGAACAAAUUUUGAAGCACGAACAUUUUUUGAAUCUUGAGAACAAAUUUUGAAACGGAGAACAAAUUUGGAAGCACGAACAUUUUUUGAAUCUUGAGAACAAAUUUUGAAACGGAGAACAGAUUUGGGAGCAUGCACAAUUUUUUAAAGCACAAACAUUUUUAAUUCUUGAGAACUAAUUUUGAAACGGAGAACAAUUUUGAAAAAUCCCGCACAAAUUUGGAAGUGCGAACAAUUUUUUAAAGCGUGAACAUUUAUUUAAUCUUCACAACAAAUUUUGAAAUGGAUAACAAUUUUGAAAAUCCCGAACAAAUCUGGAAGUGCGAACAUUUUAUAACAAUGGGAACAAAAAAUUGAAAUUCGGUACAUUUUUUGCAUUUCGAAACUUUUCAACUUUUUGUGUAACGAUAACAAUUUUUGAAUCUUGAGAACAUUUUUUGAAACCUGAACAUUUUAUGGAAACACGAACAAAAUUUCAAUAUUUUGAAAUUCUUUUGAUAAAAAGAGAGGGAAAAAAGGAAAAAGAAAAAACAAAGAAAUAAAACAAACAGAAAAAUCGAAAAAAUAAAAAAGAAACAGAAAUAACUAAAAAUGAAAAGAAGAAGAAAAAACAAAAAGGAAAACUAGAAACAAACAAAAAAAGAAAAACAAGAAGUAGCAAAAAGAAUACCAAGAAGUAGCAAAAAGAAAACUAAAAAACAGGGGAGCAAAAAGAAUACCAAGAAGUAGCAAAGAAAUAAUCGCCACAUCUUCAAAGUUUCAUCUUCUACUACUGGGUUAAUGUGCUAGUUUUGUUAUUUUGCUCAUAGACCAGAGCUUUGUUUUUGAAAUGAAAUUAGUUUAUGUGACUGUAGUUUUGCUAUAGGAUUCAGAUUUUUUUCAAUUUUUUUAGAAAAACUUGGAUUGAAAAAUGUUAUAUUCAUGCUUAAUUCAGUUUUGCACGAAAUUAAUAUUAGAAGCUGAAUCAACAAUCUAUUCGUGAUAAAAUAGAGUGAUUCGAAUAUAGUACCCGAAGACAGCAAACAAAACAGGAACAUCAUGAAUAUAUGGUUCAAAAAAACUUCUCUAUUUCUGAUGCAAUAUUGUGGUGUGAGAUACACAUGAAAACAACAAGAAAAGCGGAAAUGCAAUCAUUUAGAGCACAUGCCCACAAGGUAUAAAUUCGGUUAUAUGAACUAUACAACUGAAUGCUUUCUGGCGUAUACAUUGAAGAGACAAAAAUGGAAGUACACAUCAAUGUAAUCAACUACUUGUCACUACUCCUUUCCUUUCUGAAAACAAUCUACCGAGAUUGAGGAAUGAUUUCCUAAAAUAGUUGAACAGGAGAAAAAAUACUCGACUAAGUGCAGAAAUAAUUUGUAUGAAAUGUAACAAGGUCUAUGAAGAAUUCAGUACAGUAAUAAUGCAGGCAAAUCAGAUCAACCAACUAGCUGGUGUUUUUUCUAGGGAAGCAAGUAGCUACUGUUAGCUAAACAGUGUACACACGUAGUUAAAUUAACAUCACAAAACUUGCUGAUUAGAAAGGUGGACGCUAAUUAAGCUACCAAACAAACUAGGAGGUGAUUCAAAUUAAUUAACUGAACAUUCAAAACCAGAGUAGAAUGUAUCAUGAAGAUAAUCAUAUUAAAAGUGGUAAUGCCUAUUUAUGAACUAGAAAAUGAUAUGAUUUGCAUGGAAACGAAAUAAUGUUGAAAUGAACACUAGGUUACUUAAGAUUUUCAAGAGAAGAACACCUCCUAUAUCUAUGAGCAUUUACCAGAAAAACUAAGCGAGAUUCAUUUACAGUAGUAGCUAGAAGAAAACUACAGCAGUAUCUUCACAACUAUUGCCGGUCCAUAAGUAUAUACAUGGAAAAUUCAGAGCAUCUACACAAUUUAAGGGACAUGCUCGUUCACUUCUGUAGAAGUAUCGACAACAUCUUAAAACACAUUCACAAAAAGGGUUAGGAACAAAAUUGUCAAGCACCAGAAUAGAAAACAGUUGACAAGUACUUGCUGUAAUGAUUUACCUACAAAUCUGUAGAAGAACUAUGAUCUGUUAGAUCUCAACCGAACCUGUAAACACAAACAGAAAAAGAAAGUCGAAUACAGUUGAGGAACCUAGGAAUUUGGAAUAAAAACCAAACGGGGAACACCAGAUCUGACGAACCUCGACCAAUUAUCACAAAAUUGAAGUGUUAUUCCUCAGAAUUUGGUUGCCAAAACACCGUCUACCAACAACAGAGAACAAAUCAGCUAACCCUAACUUCCAUCCCAGAGAUUUGCAGGAAGGGGAGAGAAGAUGAAGAACCAGAGCACCUAGCGCCCCGAGAUGCACGAAGGAGGAAGGAAUCAAGACCACGGCGAAGAAUCGAGAGGAAGGAAGAGGAAUCGAGAGGACGAAGCAGAGAAGGAAUCGAGACAAAGCAGUCGCACGAGGAAGAAAGGGGAACGAGGAAACAGACGUGGUCGGUCGAAACAAGAAACAGGAAAAAAAGGCCGGCCCAAAUACGGGCGAAGGGUGUGCGGU